UAGGGAAUCUUCCACAAUGGACGAAAGUCUGAUGGAGCAACGCCGCGUGAGUGAAGAAGGUUUUCGGAUCGUAAAACUCUGUUGUAAGGGAAGAACACGUACGAGAGUAACUGCUCGUACCUUGACGGUACCUUAUUAGAAAGCCACGGCUAACUACGUGCCAGCAGCCGCGGUAUAACGUAGGGGACAAGCGUUAUCCGGAUUUACUGGGCGUAAAGCGCAUGUAGGUGGCGCGGAAAGUUGGACGUGAAAGCUCCCGGCUUAACUGGGAGAGGUCGUUCAAAACUGUCGUGCUUGAGGUUGGAAGAGGAGAGCGGAAUUCCCGGUGUAGUGGUGGAAUGCGUAGAUAUCGGGAGGAACACCAGUGGCGAAAGCGGCUCUCUGGUUCACACCUGACACUGAGAUGCGAAAGCGUGGGGAGCGA
Molecule: ribosomal RNA, 424 nt
Filed under: uncultured bacterium
Lineage: Bacteria
Description: bacterial SSU rRNA
Rfam family: Bacterial small subunit ribosomal RNA
Source: RNAcentral